This is a long non-coding RNA of Gopherus evgoodei (Goodes thornscrub tortoise), 1359 nucleotides long. RefSeq lists it as uncharacterized. The transcript has 4 exons. The record is from RefSeq and is a predicted model, not a curated record. NCBI's taxonomy places the organism in Eukaryota, Metazoa, Chordata, Testudines, Testudinidae.
CGGGCGCUGGCAAAAGUAAAAGCGGAUCUCCGGGGUCCCUUGGCUCGUGUACACCCGCCCGCACCGAGACAGACACGCUCCUGGGGUGAGUUGGCUGGCAGCUGCCACGGGAGGAUUAGUUACCCAGCAGCCACACCAAACAGGGAGACUCAGUAGCGAAGCCAGCACAGAAGCCGCCCCAGCAAAGAGCGCAGGACGCGUUUCCUACACCAGGCUCCGGCAGCUCCAAGCGACCCCCGCAAUCAUCCUGCCGCCCAGCGCCCAGCCACCGAGAACGGCUCCCCACGCCGGGGCUCUGACCCGCAUCUUCUGUUUCUCCUGAAGAUUUCAUACAGAGCACACCCCAGCUAAUCCUCAUCUUGGGCAGCUUGCGUUUUGGAUUAGGUCAAAACCCACACCGGAGUCUUUCUAGACAGCCUGCUCUUCCCCUACAUUAACACAAGUGAGGAUCUUCAACUGUUGCUGGUAUGUUCUCAACUGCCCCGGUUCAAGUUGGGUUCUCAAGUGCAGACUCUUCACAGAAGAGUUAAAGGUCAGAAGGGAUAAUCAAAUCUGACCCUGUGUCUAUCAUAUGUCACUAAGUUUCACCAGAUAAUCUGAUAUGAACCCCAAAGACUUCUGGGACUGAAAUGCUUUGGUCUAACUGAAGACUGAACUGGCGUGCCAUGGACAGAGAACAGGAAAGACCAAGGCACUUGUGGAUCAGAGACUUGGUUUUCAGCAUUAUACUAUAGAAGAUGUUGGCUAGCACUUUUGGGAAAAAUGCAAGACAAAGGACAAUGAGAUGAACAAUGACAUCUAAUGUGGUGGUGGUGGUCUGUGCUCUAGUCUAAGUGACCUGCAAGUAGCACAUGAUCUGAAGAUUAUAGAUACCUUCACAGGUGUAUAUUGGUACAGAUAUAAAUGCCUGGUUCCAAUUCAAUACUUUCAGAAGGAACUCACAUGAAGAGUGAGUUUAUAUUACCUAUGAAGAGGUGCUGGUUACUCAGUGUGGGGGAAGUUCACCAAACCAGCUAGCAAUCAAUUGUGUCAAAGACAUGCCUAUUGUCAAAUCAAAGAGAGCAAGUUUUUCCUUUGGAUUACCAAAUUGUGUCCAGUCCUGCAAAUUGUUCCAUAUAGGCUGCUGUCUGCACAGAACUCCUUGUUAGAAUCAAGGCAUAAAUGCAGAAGUUCAUACACAGAGUGUAUAUACGUGAAUUAUCACGGGACAAAGAUAACAUUAGCUAACCAAAAAUAAAUGUAUUGAAUGUGGCUUAUCUGGAAUGUAAGUGAUCCUGCUAAUAAACUGUUGUAUAAUUUUUUUUUGAUCAAGACAGGUUCAUGAAUGUCAAUUACAGUUAGGACUCAGGACAGUUAAAU